Molecule: long non-coding RNA, 715 nt
Organism: Vidua macroura (Pin-tailed whydah)
Lineage: Eukaryota; Metazoa; Chordata; Aves; Passeriformes; Viduidae
Exons: 3
Source: RefSeq, a predicted model, not a curated record
CCCGGCGCGGGGAGAAUAAUCCGUGCGGAGCGGCGGUGCCCCGGUCUGUCAGUCCGUCCGCUCGCCCGUCAUGUUGCGGCCGAGAUGUCUUUCAUAAUUAUUUCCCAGUUGCUCCGUGGCCAUCCCGGUGCAUUGCUGGUCCUAGGGAGGGAAUAAGGAAACGACGUUUAUGAAGCAGCACCACACCAAGGACAGAUCUCAGCCGCAUCGGUCUAGGAGCAGGAAUGAUUUCCCUGGAAUAUCGGGAGCAUUUUAUGACCCUGAAAGGAACCAGUUUUGGAGGACUGGCACGCUGGAGGAGCUAAGUAAGCCAAGCAGUGACUCAUGACCACAGGUGGGGAGAACAACCUUUCCUUGCACUAGGGUACACGGAGACAUCUUGGGAGGUCUAGGGGAUGUAUGGACUUCACUAAAUAUUUUUCUCUUACAGUACUAUUUGAGCUAGGUUGGCAUUAGGGGUGUUGUCAUACCACAGUGAGCAUGCAGCACUCUGGUCAGGUUCUGAUUUACCUUACCACCAGGGGAGAGGACAAAGGAGGCCUCCCAUACCAAAUUGCUUCUACUCUCCUUUCAAGAGACAUCCUUUCAGUGAAGCAUUGUCACACUCAUCAAUAUCUAUUAGUUUUGCAUUGUAUAUGAUCAUAUCCACUUAGACCUUUGGAGCAAGGAUUAAUCAAGUGACCUUCCCCUUGCUGUAUAGCUCCAUGUAUGUGUA